Molecule: long non-coding RNA, 5021 nt
Organism: Grammomys surdaster
Lineage: Eukaryota; Metazoa; Chordata; Mammalia; Rodentia; Muridae
Exons: 2
Source: RefSeq, a predicted model, not a curated record
GGUGGAAAUCCUAAAAGUAUUUCAGUUACUUUUUAAGGAAUUGUAUUCAAAGGAACCACUACUCGAUUCUAAUUUUAAGUGGUAUGAAAAUGUUAAAUGUCAGACAGCAUUGAAAAUAUAGUUGACAUCAGAUAUGGUAUCCACAUGUAAACCCAGCCCUGUGUAAUUAAACCAAAAAAGGACAAAAACAGCCAGUCCAUGAUGACACACACCUUUAAUUGAGAUUGAAACAUUCAGGACAGAGGCAAGUGGAUCUCUUUGAGUUCAAGAUCAGUCUGGGCAGCAUAUUUGAGAUUUGUAAUAUUUACAUAGUGAGAAAUAAAAAUUUAUUCUGUUUCAGUGCUGAAGAUCAUCACAAAACCAAACAGAUAAAUCCCCAGUACUGAUAGGUAGUGGAAGAAUACUAGGAUGAAGAAAAAAAAUGACAAUUUUUAUGUUCUGUGGAAAAAUUAGGGAGGCAAGAUGGGAGUGGUAGUUAUUGCUAUUCGACAGUGUUUUUUUAAAUAUACUUUCUAAAUAAAGUAUGUUUGGAGGAUGUCCCUCCGAAGUAACAUUUGAACAGUGAAAAAUGAGAACAAACUAUAUAAGGUUUUUCAGAAGAAGACCUCUGAGUAGUUGAAAUCACAAAUAUAAAGAUUUUGAAAUAAAUGAAUGAAUGAAUAAAUAAAUAAUAAAUAAAUAAAAAGAUUUUGAAGCCAACACAUUUGGGGUGCUUGCAGGAACAGUAAGGGGUCUGUAUGAGACGAGUGAGUUACAAUUAAUAGAAUGUAAACAUGUUAGAAGUUGCAGAUGAUAAGUCUGCUCGUAAAGAUUCCUGCAAAGCCAAACCUGGUGACCUGAUUGAAUUCAGUUCCCCAGGACCUAGGUGAUAAAAGGAGAGAAGGGAUUCAAAUAAGUUGCCUCUUGCCAUAUACUCAAGCUGUGGCAUGCAUAUGACCCAGGACAUAUAUCCCACCACAUAUACAGAAAAAAAUAUAUUUUAAGUAUAUUUAGAAGUUUGAUGUUGGAAUUCUUAGUUUAAUAUAAAAUUUGGUUUUAGUACUUUAGGGUAACUUAGAUAGACAUCAAUAUAAAAUUCAGUCUUAGUACUUUAGGAUAACCAUAUGUUCCUUAGCCUUUUUGGCUUUUGCAGAUGGAAGAAAAUGUUUUUAUUCUGACACAAAAGCCUCCAUCCAAGACCAUUGUGGGGGGAUGUUUAUAUGGGUGAUUAACCAGGUUUUUAUUAAUAAUGCUUUGUUGGCUCUCAAAUUGUUUUCCUCUUAAUCAGUUUAGCAAGAGCCAAAGUAAGUGGUUCCAAGAAACACUGAAUUUGUUCAUGUUUGUCAGCGGCCCAAUAGCCAUAGACUUUUUUUUGAUUCCUCCAGUUUGAGAAAUGUUGCUGUACUUAGUGGCUAGUUAUUUCUCACUUCUUUUUUAGCAGCGUCUUGACCAAGGAUUUUUUUUUUUUUUUUGCAUCUGAUUUAGUCUAAAAUUUUAAUCAUCUUCAAUGUAUACCACUGAUUGGAUUUUCUAAAACACUGCCCUUUCCUGCAGAAUAAAAUUCAAAGUCCACAGUUGGUAUAUCAUGCUUCAGCCUUUCUAAGUUAUUAAAUUUUUUUUCCAGAUAACUAACUCUAAGCUUUUUAUUUUUAAAGGCCCCUCCACACCGCACCCGUUUAUUAUGUUUGGGCAUGUCCCAUGUGGCCAUCAGGGGACAAACUUUGUGUGUUCUUUCCUUCAGUGUUUAAAAGAGUUCAGGGAUAAAACUCAGGUCACCAAGUUAUACAGCAAGUACCCUUAUUAGAUGUGCCAUCUUGUAGGUCCUCUGUCUCUGGUACAUUUUAAAAUUUAGGCCAGAUCUCUCAUGUGUGCCAAGUAUUUCUUCAGUAGCAUGCUGUUAACUAUUCCUCCCAUGAGCUAAACAACUUGGUAUCUGUAUAUGUGGUAGAUUUUGUUUGGUUUUGAGAUGGGUUUUUGCUCUAUGAACAGAUGGUAUCAUAGGAAAGAGCAACUUUACUAUAUAUAGUUUUUAAAUCUUUUUCAUUAUUUUAAUGCAUCUGACAGAUACUAACAUUUCUAUCAAUAAUUGUGCCUCCUUUACUUACAUUUAUUAUUAAUCUUUUAGGGCCAGGCAGUGGUGGCGCACGCCUUUAAUCCUAGCACUUGGGAGGCAGAGGCAGGCGGAUUUCUGAGUUCAAAGCCAGCCUGGUCUACAGAGUGAGUUCCAGGACAGCCAGGGCUACACAGAGAAACCCUGUCUCGAAAAACCAAAAAAAGAAAGAAAGAAAAUCUUUUAAAGAUACUAGAAGUAUAAAUGAAACUUUGAACUUUAAAUACAAAAUUAAGACAUCCAGAACUGCAAGAGCACUAGCCUAAACAUUAUAUCCUAACAUUCAUAUAUUAAUGUAUCUUAUCAAGUAAGAUAACAAAUAAUAUAUUUCUCAGAUAGUUUUCAACCAGCUACAGUAGUUCAGUUUUAGAAUUUUUAAGCUUAGUAAAUAAACUCCAGUGAUUUCCUGUGUUUGUAGUGGAAUAUUUUGAAGCAUUUGUAAAGUGUCCAUUAUCAAAAGUUAAUAUACUGUGCAGCUGUUUAAAGUAUAGGUGAAUGAAUGAACAAAUUAUAAGUAAAUUGGGGUUAUAAAAUAUUACAAGUAGAUUCAUUAGAUUUAUCACUGGUUUACUGUGGAUAAGAAAUUUUACUAAGGAUAAGCAGAGUCUUAUUUUCUUAUAAAUGGUAUAUAUUUGAAGAGGAGAGAGAAAUUCUUGAAAAUUUUAAAAAUCAUUUGAAGUCAUGUCACCUCACAGUCACUCCCAUUGUGGAAUUUAUAAAAAAAGAAACAGCACUGUGCAGAGAUUUUUAAGAGUUACAAUUGAGAAUUAAUUAACUAUUAGAACUAGGCAAAUCAUUUCAAAAUUAGCUAAUUCUAAAAUUAGCAUCAAUGAUUUUUGCUGUUUUUAAAGCAAAAUGAAAACAUUAUUCAGAAUAAUUAAUUAUUAAUUAAUUAUUAUUAUUAAAUAAUUAAUUAUUCAAGAAUUAUUCAGUUCAUUUUUAAAAUUUGAGUGUGUGUGUAUGUGUGUGUGUGUGUACACAUAUGUGCACUCGCAUGCGUACAUACACUGCAUACUAGUCAGAGGCAUUGGAUCCCCUGGAACUGGAAGUUACAGACAUUAUGAGCUGCCUGCCAUGGGUAUUAACUGAUCUCUGAUCCUCUGCAAGAGCAGUAAGCACUAAAGCCUCGCUUCUUGAAUUCUUAAUUGAGAGAUUCCACUAUCAUUUAUUCUUCCAACCUUCAAGGCCUGAAAAGGAAAGUAUUAGAGGAAAAUGGUAGGUAUAUCUAUUGUCAUUUUGAAACUUAUAAGCUAAGUGUCUUGGUUAGGGUUUCCAUUGCUGUGAAUAGUCACCAUGAUGACUAAGAUACAAGAUAACUCUUAUAAAGGAAAGCAUUUAAUUGGGGCUGGCUUACAGGUUCAGAGGUUCAGUCCAUUAUCAAGGUGGGAAGCAUGGCAGCACCCAGGCAGGUAUGAUGGUAGAGAAGGAGCUGAGAAUUCUACAUCUUGUUCUAAAGGCAAACAGGAGAAGACUGACUACCAGGCAGCUAGGAGGAGAGUCUCCAAGACCACCCCCAAAUUGACACACUUUCGUCUACAAGGCCACUCCUACUAAUGGUGCCACUUCUUGGCAAAUACAAAUUCUAUUUCGAGAGUUGGUGACAGUUUUGGGGGUUUUUAUGGGGGGGCGUUGUUUUAUUCGUUUGUUUAUUUAAAGCUUUGGCUGGCCUAAAACUCACUAUGUAGACUAGGUUUUGUCUUGAACUUUAAAGAUCCACCUGCCUUUCCUUCCCAAGUGCUAGUAUUAGAGGCAUGUAACUACCCUUCCCGGCCAGAAUAUGAUUUAGUUUUUAUUUUUAAAUACUGGAUAAUUCAAUGAAACUGAUUCUGGUGUAAAAAUUAAGAUUUAUGGGCUUAGCUGUUAAGAGCACUGGCUGCUCUUUCAGAGGUCCUAAGUUCAAUUCCCAGCAAUCAUAUGGUGGCUCACAACCAUCUGUAAUGGAAUCUGAUGCCUUCUGGUGUGUCUGAAGACAGCAUAUUCAAAUGUACAAAAGACAAAGGCAACUAAUGUUAUUCACCUUAUGCUUUUCUGGACAUGUGUGGACUUUUUUUUUUGCUAUGUUUUGUUUUUAUUUUCCCUUAGAUUUCAUUUUUAUAUGUGUUUUCCUCAUCUUACCUGUCUACUACCUGUGUAUCUAGUGCCUAUGAGGUCAGAAGAAAGUAUAGGAUUCCCUAGCACUGGAGUUAUGGACAGUUGUGAGACACAACAUGGGACCAGGAAUCAAACCUGAGUUUUCUGCAAGAACAAGAUAUGCUGUUAGCUGCUGAGCUGUCUCUCCUAUUAUUUUGUGUAUAGAUCAAACAUAGGGCCUCCAACAUGCUUGGUAAGCUUUAAAAAGACUAUACCCUAGCCUUUUUAGCCUUAGCUGUUAGAGAAAAAGGAUUUAUAUGUGAGUUCAAAGUUACUACUUGUAUAAUAGUAAUGGGAAAACAUAUAUAAAAGCAAAUAUAAAAAGGAUGAGAUUUCUAAAUAUUUUAAUUUGAGCUUGAGAAUGUAAAAACUGUUUCUUGUGGGCUCGUUCCGUUAUCAUGCCUUCUAGUACUUUAGGGAAAGGCAGUCCUUAAGUUUUAUGUUUCAAUGACCACAUUAAGUUUAUCAGAAUACAAAAUGAAAUUCAUGUUUGGUGGUGUUGUAAUAAUAUUCUUGAAUCAAUGUUUGUGUAGCAUGCAUAAGGCCAAAAGUUCUUCAUCCUUCAUGAUGUUAGUGAUGAUUCUAAAAUUGUUAAUGUUAGUAAACAUGACAAUAAUUUGGGUAAAUAUUUGCCCUAUUACAGUGAAUGUUUUUCUCUGGUUAUGACUGACUCAUUUAGAAUGUAAGCAAAAAUGUUUAAACUCAUUUUUCUAAGUUAUUUUUUGUAAUCUAAAACUCAAGAAUGUGGUAUACAACUAUAUUAAUAAACCUCGCUUGUCUAAAAAUCUGAUUAACUGGGAAA